CUGCAGCCAAAUAAGCUCACCAGGCUCCUUUGCACAUGAGAAGCUGGUGUGCAGUGGCUGCAAAAAGCAAAUAGCCUCCUUGGUAGUGUACAUGGCUGUUGUUUAUAUAAUUGACCUAAAGGAUCUUGAAGACAGAG
Perognathus longimembris pacificus (Pacific pocket mouse) is the source of this 137-nucleotide small nucleolar RNA. RefSeq annotates it as small nucleolar RNA SNORA70. The transcript has a single exon. The record is from RefSeq and is a predicted model, not a curated record. NCBI's taxonomy places the organism in Eukaryota, Metazoa, Chordata, Mammalia, Rodentia, Heteromyidae.